RNAcentral lists this ribosomal RNA (508 nucleotides) under uncultured bacterium. RNAcentral describes it as "partial 16S ribosomal RNA". It matches the Rfam family "Bacterial small subunit ribosomal RNA", at positions 28 to 523 of the family's 1533-position model. The record is from RNAcentral.
GACGAACGCUGGCGGCGUGCCUAACACAUGCAAGUUGAGCGACGAACCAGGGCUUGCCCUGGGGCAAAGCAGCGAACGGGUGAGUAACACGUGGGUAACCUACCCCGAUAACCGGGACAACCCGAGGAAACUCGGGCUAAUACCGGAUGUGCUCACUGGACUUCGGUUCAGUGCGUAAAGGAAGCUUCGGCCUCCGUAUCGGGAGGGGCCCGCGGCCCAUUAGUUUGUUGGUGAGGUAACGGCUCACCAAGACCGCGAUGGGUAGCUGGUCUGAGAGGACGAUCAGCCACACUGGGACUGAGACACGGCCCAGACUCCUACGGGAGGCAGCAGUGGGGAAUCUUGCGCAAUGCGCGAAAGCGUGACGCAGCAACGCCGCGUGGGGAAGAAGGCCUUCGGGUAGUAAACCCCUUUCAGGAGGGACGAAGGUUCGGCAGUUAGCAGCUGUCCGGACUGACGGUACCUCCACAAGAAGCCCCGGCUAACUACGUGCCAGCAGCCGCAGUAA